This 253-nucleotide ribosomal RNA is filed under the name uncultured bacterium. RNAcentral's name for it is "partial 16S ribosomal RNA". It matches the Rfam family "Bacterial small subunit ribosomal RNA", at positions 524 to 776 of the family's 1533-position model. The record is from RNAcentral.
UCCGUAGGGGGCAAGCGUUGUCCGGAAUCAUUGGGCGUAAAGCGCGUGUAGGCGGCCCGGUAAGUCCGCUGUGAAAGUCCAGGGCUCAACCCUGGGAUGCCGGUGGAUACUGUCGGGCUCGAGUCCGGAAGAGGCGAGUGGAAUUCCUGGUGUAGCGGUGAAAUGCGCAGAUAUCAGGAGGAACACCAAUGGCGAAGGCAGCUCGCUGGGACGUGACUGACGCUGAGACGCGAAAGCGUGGGGAGCAAACAGG